GUUCAGGCCAUUAUUCAAGGAGUUGUGGGAAUUCAACCUGGCUACAAAACAGUGGAGAAAAAUCUUAAUACAGGGAGAUAUUCCGGACCAACUAGCUAGUCAUACUGCAGAAAUUCAUCCCGUCCACAGAGGUUUUAUGAUUGUGUAUGGAGGAACUGGUUCACCUUUUGGUACAACAACUAGUGAUAAAUAUUC
Long non-coding RNA from Eurytemora carolleeae, 195 nucleotides. RefSeq lists it as uncharacterized. The transcript is spliced from 3 exons. The record is from RefSeq and is a predicted model, not a curated record. NCBI's taxonomy places the organism in Eukaryota, Metazoa, Arthropoda, Copepoda, Calanoida, Temoridae.